This is a non-coding RNA of Zonotrichia albicollis (white-throated sparrow), 2086 nucleotides long. The record is from RefSeq and is a predicted model, not a curated record. NCBI's taxonomy places the organism in Eukaryota, Metazoa, Chordata, Aves, Passeriformes, Passerellidae.
AGUGAGCAAUUAGCAUAUGAAUUUUCAUAUAUAUUUACAAAAUUAAAUAAAAAACCCACUAGUUUAUUUUACUUAACAACUAGAGACCAUGAAUAUGGUCAGUCGCAGGUGUUAGGCUAUUGAAAAUAAACUGAGUGUUCAUUAUCACAGGUUUUUUUUUUAAAGAGCAUGUAGAAUUGAAAGCAUUAUAUUGCAGCUUGAAAACAACUUCCUGAUGAUAUUGAUUAUUAUUUUAACGUGAUAAAUCCUAUUUUACAUGUGGCUUCCAAAAGUUCUUUCCUCUUAGACCUGCCAGCCAUGGGAAACCCCAAUUAUCUGCUAAAUAGGGGUAAAUAGGGGUAAAUUCCAACAAAAUUCAUCUUUCUCCUUGGUAGGACUUUGGCAAGCAUUAGUUCCAUCAACUGUUUAGGUAGAUGUUUUCUUCUAAAAUAUACUAUAAUUUUGCUUUUAACUUUAGGACAAAGAAAAUAUAAUGUGCUUUUGAGAAAAAGAAAGCAGAAUGCUUUAGAAACUAUACAUCAAUUUUCAGUUCAGAAACUUUUCCAAAUGAAAAAAAGUAAACCUUUGAGAGUUUUUGAAAGGGGUAAGGCAAAGAUAAAAUUCUGAUACUCAGAAAAUCACUGGGAGGUAUAAGAUCUAUGGCUAUAUAUUGAAGAAACUAAAGUAAGAAUGAAUCGGGGGAGUUGGGAAAGAAAGAGAACAAAUUUUCAAGUAAAUUGAUCACAAAUUGUCAUUUGUCAAAAGAAAUGAAAGAUUCAAUAAACAAAGAUAAAAUAACACUUCAGGAUUAAAGCAUUUAAGAAUUUUUUUUUUUAGAAAUAUCUGAAAAAUAGGAAGGGAAAAUUGUAAGCUAGAAAAAAACUUCAGGGAUUUUAGUUUUUCAAUAGAUAUGAAUUUUAGGUAUUUUUAGAAGGACACUUGGUGAAUAUAACAAGGAAAUUUCUGGAACUACGAAGAUCCCAAAAGCCACAUUUAAGCAAGAUUGUGGGGAGGAAAGGAUAUCCUUUUCCUGAUAAGGACUGCUAUAUGGGUCAAAUGAGCUGAUAACAUGAAGAGCAGCAUAAAACUAAUUGGUUCAAGAAACCUAGUGUGCUUUUAUAAUCUAUACUGCAUUAAGUUAUGGGAAAAAGGAAAACAGACCCUAAGAUUCGUAUUUUAAAAUGUCUUUGAAAGAGAAUCCAUUGUGAGCUAUAUCUAUUUACAUAAGAUUUAAACAUGUGAAAAGGUAUGUAUGGAUUAGGUAAAAAUGAAGGCUAGUAACAGCAAGACAAUAACAAGCCAUUUAAACAUCACACUGGACUUGAAAAAGGUGAGGCUGGCCCAGUGCUGGCUGUGCCAGGGCUGUGCUGGGGCUGUGCCGGGGCUGCAGCGGCCCCAAAUUGAGUCUGUUUUGCCAGUGAUGGUAAUUUGUAAGUUUGUCUCAAGCCAUUUAUUUUUCAUCUUUUCUCCCCCUAUAUUAUUGAGCGGGAAGGAAGUGGCUUGUUGGGUGCUUGGCUGCUGACCAAGGUCAACUUCUGCCAUUUUUUUUGGCAGAUCAUUUACACAUAAAGAAGAAGGGCCUCUCUUAUGACAUCUACUAUAGGGAAAAUGAAUAUUUGGAAAAGUUUUACUUAGCUUCCAUGCAAGAUCUCUCUAAAGCAGGACUGACUUCUGCUUUCUAAACUGAUUCUUUUACAUUAGAGGGUCUUUGGAGGCUGGCAGCUGAGCUGCCAGACAUGUGACAGCUGGGAGCUGACAAAACCAGUGGGAUUCCAUCUGUCCAGAUGCCCAGCUCGUGGCUCUUCUCACCUGGGGGCAGAGGACAGCUGAACUUCUUUGGUUGCAGGGCUGCAGCAGUCUGAGCAUUUUGCUGCUUUAUUUCCCUGAACUCCUUUUGAGUCAGCCUUGUGUAGGUCACAUGAAUGCCUGUGUCCUCUUUAUGCCAUUACACCAAGACUGUCCUCAUUUUUGUGGGGGGGUCAAAAGAACAGCAACCACCGAAAUAGCAUUCUGCCAGAGGUGCUGCUUGUGUAUAGCUUGAGCUUUUUGAGAUAGGAUAUUUGCAUCGUUUGUAAGUUCAUGGUAGGAUCUGACAUCAGCAGUAAUA